AAGACUAUAGACCUGCGGAGUACCUGCGGAGGGAUCAUUACAGAGUUACUACUCCAAACCCAUUGUGAACCUUACCUAUGUUCUGUUGCCUCGGCGGCGCGGUCAGCGCCCCUCUGAAAAGAGGACGAUGCCCUCCCGCCGGCAGCACCAAACUCUUGAAUUUUACAGCGGAUUACAGUUCUGAUUUAAAAACAAAAAAAACAAGUUAAAACUUUCAACAAUGGAUCUCUAGAUCGGAAG
Molecule: unclassified non-coding RNA, 240 nt
Filed under: soil metagenome
Description: partial contains 5.8S ribosomal RNA, internal transcribed spacer 2, and large subunit ribosomal RNA
Source: RNAcentral